GCGGAUAGAAGCUCCUGCAGAAGUUUGGCGGUGAAUAGGGCGACAAGGAGAGAAAAUAACCGAGAUUGGGAAGUGCAGGGAGGCUCACCACCUCCAACCGAAACGCGGCACACGAUUUUCGGUGCUCGGGACGUAGCAGGGGACAGAAGCCACGGCGGCGGAUCCUUUUUCUCCGACGAGAUCCGAAAUCGCGACAAGGGCCGCAAUCCGAGCUCUUGAGCCUUGCAGGUAGGGAAGAGGGGAUGCGGAGAAGAUCUCGGGGCUUUAUAGGGUGUCUGAAGCGCAAAAUUCGGCAACAAAUCCCGGCCGAGUUGGGAUUGGCACGCUCGGUGGUCCUCAGGCGGAGUCCGGCUCGGUUACGCGAGGGAGAAGAAAGCCGGGGUCACUGCCACGCGGGCCCCGGUGUCAGCGACAGAAGAGAGAAAGGGGAGGGAAAGGCGCGCGGCUGGGCCAACUACUGGGCCGCGGUGCUGCAGAGCUGCUGCUGGAGCUUGGGCCAAACGCGGGGUCUGGGCAGGCUUCCUGCUGCGUAUCGGGCCGAGAGGAAGGGGAGGAGGGAACGUACUGGGCCUCGGCCACAGGUCUAGGCCAAGAGCAGGUAAGUUCUCUUUUCUUCUUUUUUUUCUUUUUCUUUUAAUCAAAAGCCUACUUCAAAUCCAUUUAAAAAUCUGUUUGAACCAUUUUCAAACUUUGGUCAAAAUCACUCAUCUCAGAAAUAAAAUGCACCAGCAUGUUUCACACACAAUUGUUGCUAAGACUUAUGAUAAAUUUUAUUUUAAAGAAAAAUAUUAUUCUUUCUAUAUUUUCAUGAGCACAAAAACAAUAAAUUAAAUUGUUUUUCACCUAUUUCGAAAUGAGCAAAAUUUUGGGUGUUACAAAUCUACCCCCCUUAAAAUGAAUCUCGUUCUCGAGAUUCGGAUGAGACGCGGAUUCCAAAUGAGAAACAAGAACAAGAUCUUGAUAUCUACUUCAACUUCACAACUUGUAUUCCAAAAGCAAACACUCAUGUCUCGGGAUCACAACUUGUGAACAAAACUUCCAUAAAAUGUCUAUUAUUCGUAAUUGCUCACUGUCCAUCUUGACUACCAACUUUUCAACUUAUACAACUCGAAGACAUGAUACCUCGGCAUGGAUAUGCCUCCUCAGGUAGGAGUGGACCACCUUGAUACUCAAUUCUUUUCCCUGAUGGUGCAGUUAAGAAUAUUUUCCACUGGGUAGCAUAGAUCACUGCCUUGUGUGCACAUAACCAUCCAUUGCCAAGAACCAAAGGAAUAUUGAGUGACUCUAGCACAAUGAGGUUUACAGUGAAGUUUUCCUUCUUUAUGACAAGAUUGAUAUUUGAGCAAACCUGAUCUACCUGUAUUUCUCCCAUUGGGGUUUGAACUAACAAUGGCUUUCUCGUCGGACACUUCACCCGUUCGAUUGUCUUUACCAAGUCGGCGGAUAUGAAAGAAUGCGAAGCACUUCGGUCAAACAGAGCAAAAACUAGUACUGAGUCCACUUGAAUAUAGCCUCCCACCACUUUGGUGGCUCCUUGAAUGUUAUGCCUAUCCACAUUGUUCAGUCUUCCAUUGAUAUAAUUUUGCUGCACUUUAUUUCCAGGAGCAUGCCUCUUACGAGCUUUCCUUUUACGCUUCCGUCGUUGUGGAUUUUGAUUUGAUUCAUUAUCAACUUGCUCUUCAAUAUUAUUAUUUUGAUAACACUCAGCUUUGUCAUACUCAUAGCAUCUUUCUUCAAAGGCAAAAUGAUCAUAUUCUUCCCACCUAUCCAUGAGAGGCGUCAUAUUAUGCUCCGAAUCCAUGGGACACUACACUCCCUGUCAUCAAGUGACCAACGUCAGUAACACGGCAAGGAUAGAUGAUCAUAACCAUAGAAUAUCUCAGAAGACAAUUAUCACUUCAAAAUGCAUCAUCCUGAUAUCAGGGUACUACCCCCCUUAAAAUUAGAUUGAUUGGGGAGACAUUAGGGACUAGUCCUCAUAACCUUUUUAAAUGCUGCACAUCAUAUAGUCUUUAAAAUUCGUUGUACCGAGUCUCUUGAUCCAUCCAACAUUAUGCAAUUCUUCUCCAUGUAACCCCUUUAUUUGGGCUACCCCACUUAAGAAAGGUCAACCAGGGGACACAAGAAAGGUAGCUAGCAUGUUUUCCAGACAAGUUAACUAACAUUGAGAACUUAUGACAUCCCAAAGAGCUUCUGUGCAAGAGAACAAGCAUGUAUCCUGAAAUUUUCCCACGAUAUGAAAACACCAGCAUAGAAAAACAGGUAUAAAUCUCAUUCUGUUAAUCCAAUAGAGUUGUAGCUUAUACCAUUAGAAAGAUUAUGAAAUUCCCUACAACUUUCAUGUAGAAGACCUCCUUAGAUUCUGUCUUUAAGCUUAGGUAAAACAACCAAACAUAAUAUCCUUCCUGAUAAUGUCUCAGCAAAGGUGCAGUAACUUCCAGAAAUUAUAUCUCGAGCUACUUAACUCAUCUAGAGAUGAUCCUUAUAUUGUUGGAAAGCUUAUGAAAUCCUCUACAUCUUUCGUAUACAACGCUUUCCCAGAUUUUGUCUUUAACUUGGCUGAAAAUAGAAAAUGCCAGAUCUGUCCAGAUCUUGAAACAGAACAGAAACAUCCAACUGUAAAUAUCAUAUCUCAGGUUCUACUUAUCCAAAUGACUUCCAGCUUAUACUGUUGGAAAGCUUAGAAAAUUGUCUUCAACUUUUCUAUAGAGAACUUUUCCAAAUUCCAUAGCUAUGUUUGUCUCAAACAGUAAGCAACCAAAACUGAUCCAGAUUCUUGGCAGCACAGUUGUAUCAUCUUGUGAUUUUUUUAACUUCUAAACCAUAAUAGCUAUGAGGGUGAUUCUUGUGGUCAGAGAAAGAUCUUGGAGUCUAUUUGUUCCCAGAAAAAUUUGAGAAACUUUGCACGAUCGAACCUUUAGAUACACCAGAAUUAUUGCAGACUGCUCUAGAAAACAGCAAGGGAUAGAAACAGGAUAUAACCAAACCCAACUACUUAUGUCAUUACUCCUUAUGCCUUAGGCCUAUAAACUAAAUGAUGUUGUGGAGAAACCUCACAAGAUCAUUGCACUCAUUACAAAGAUCCAAAUCAAGCAUAAGCAUAAUAACAAACCAAUUAAGCACACUUCACUCAAUUUGCGAUACUAUCGUUCGCUUCAUAGCAAGGGUAGAUAUCUUAAAACACCUAUUCCAACGAUGCAAGAAGGUGGUAAGAAAAAGUUCUAAAAGCAUAUCAAGCAAGGAGUGGGGAUGAGAAUAAGUACUUUUAAAAUAAGCAUCAAGGUGAAGAUGAAUAGCAAUGAAAAGGAUAUAGUAUGGAGAAAAAUAUCAAGGUUUAUAGAGCAAGGAUUUUAUGACAAUUCCAAAACCUUAAGACGACAAAUUUCUAACUAGGCUUGCGUCCUACAGUCAGCAUUGCUCUGAUACCACUUUGUAAUACCCGAUUUUAAGGACAAAACCAGAUAUACACUAUAUAUGAGUUUUAGUAGUCAAAUCUCACAUAUAGCUACAAAUAAGGGGUAAUAUCAAAAGACAAUGCAUAAAUUAUAUAACGUACAUAGUAUAAGAGAGAUAACCUUUAGUAUCAAACAGCGGAUACACAACUCCAACUUCGGGUAUUAACUUCACUCUACAGGAUCCAACUGACUGGUUGAUCACAAGCCUAAACUUCUCCUGAGGUUUGAGAGAAAUAGCAAGAGUGAGUCCAUGUCGAACUCCACAAGUAUAGCAACUAGAUUGUAUAGCUCCCACAAUCUCAUGAUCAAUGUGACAUAAAUAAUGUAAAGCAUUAAACAAUAAACAAUGAGCAUAUUUAACAUAUAAGAAUCAUCACCCUUAAUGUAGAUGUCCCCAAGGCCGCUCCUGACCGUGAGCUCGGCUAGUAUACUAGUUUUUAACCCUCUGCAGAGGUUGUACAUCUUUACCCAUGAGUCAUGAUUUACCCUUUCGCCCGAGGUAGCUAAUCUCUUAACCCCCUUCCUAGGGAGGUCGGCAGGGAUCACUAUGAAGUCUUUCAAAGGUUCGUCUAAUAAGUUAGGGCCGCUUGGUUUCAUUAGUCAGUCCAUGUGAUUCACCCGCAGGAAUCCACGGUCUGCUAUUCCCCAAUUGCGCCACAACGGGUAACCGCUAACGAGCUAGAAAAGUUACUCAUACUUAACUAAAGCCAGAGCCAUUAUAGCCCUCAUGGUUGCACUGUUGUCCCAGGUGAUCACGUACAGACAAAUCAUCAAGUUGCUAAGAAGUCAUUUUUAUCGUUUAUUACUUAACAUUAAUCUAGUCACACGAUCAUGGUCACAGAAAUAAAAUCGAAAUGCUAUACUUGCCUUGAUCCAAAUGCUCUUGCUGAUUCUGCUGAUCUUGAUCACCGAAGUACUCUUGUGCACCACGAAUUAUUCACCGUCUAAACUCGAUCAUCGAUCACACAAACAAUCGGAGAAAACAUACACGAAGCAAACAAGGCUACAAUUAGAACAGUACACCAAUCAUAUGAAAACAGUAUGAAAAGUUUAUAAAAUGAUUCUACGCAUCGCUACGAUCUCACAGACGUAAAGAUCACGAAAAUCGGAGCUAAAACGGAGGAGAUAUGAAUUUUCUAAGAUUUUAUAUAGAAAAACAAUUAAUUAAAUAGUACCACGAAUUUAAAAAGUUUCAAAACAGUGAGAUAAUAUUUUUAACAUGUAAAGCUCGUAAAUACGAACCUAACGCAAUUUGAAUGGACCAAAUCGGAUUUAAAAUGAGCAUGUUAUAAGCAAUUUAAAUCUGGUGGCAAAACUGUAAAUACUGAAAACGUAUUUUGAUUCAAUCCGGGAGCAUUUACGUUUUCUACACAGCAAAGCGUAUUGUGGAAAGGCGCCAGGGACAGCGGGUUCCAAUCCCCAAAACUCCAAGGACUCUUUAGCAAGAGUGCCAGGCGAAGGGGUAUGUCAGGUUCUCGGCCGUUGAUCUUGAAUCGAACGGUCUGGAUUAGAAACUGGGGAGGGAGAGAGGGGUGUCCCGGCCGGAACAGUACCAACACGGCGGCGCCAUGGCUGGGGCUCGCCGGAGCUUUGCCAGAAAGCGAUUCGGGCCUCGGUUUUCGACGAGAUUAGCACAGGGAGAUAGAGAAGCUUCGUGCGAACUUACCUAGGGCAAAACGCGAAGGUGAGGAGGGCUCGGAGAUGACUGGCCACGUGACCGGCGGAUAGAAGCUCCUGCAGAAGUUUGGCGGUGAAUAGGGCGACAAGGAGAGAAAAUAACCGAGAUUGGGAAGUGCAGGGAGGCUCACCACCUCCAACCGAAACGCGGCACACGAUUUUCGGUGCUCGGGACGUAGCAGGGGACAGAAGCCACGGCGGCGGAUCCUUUUUCUCCGACGAGAUCCGAAAUCGCGACAAGGGCCGCAAUCCGAGCUCUUGAGCCUUGCAGGUAGGGAAGAGGGGAUGCGGAGAAGAUCUCGGGGCUUUAUAGGGUGUCUGAAGCGCAAAAUUCGGCAACAAAUCCCGGCCGAGUUGGGAUUGGCACGCUCGGUGGUCCUCAGGCGGAGUCCGGCUCGGUUACGCGAGGGAGAAGAAAGCCGGGGUCACUGCCACGCGGGCCCCGGUGUCAGCGACAGAAGAGAGAAAGGGGAGGGAAAGGCGCGCGGCUGGGCCAACUACUGGGCCGCGGUGCUGCAGAGCUGCUGCUGGAGCUUGGGCCAAACGCGGGGUCUGGGCAGGCUUCCUGCUGCGUAUCGGGCCGAGAGGAAGGGGAGGAGGGAACGUACUGGGCCUCGGCCACAGGUCUAGGCCAAGAGCAGGUAAGUUCUCUUUUCUUCUUUUUUUUCUUUUUCUUUUAAUCAAAAGCCUACUUCAAAUCCAUUUAAAAAUCUGUUUGAACCAUUUUCAAACUUUGGUCAAAAUCACUCAUCUCAGAAAUAAAAUGCACCAGCAUGUUUCACACACAAUUGUUGCUAAGACUUAUGAUAAAUUUUAUUUUAAAGAAAAAUAUUAUUCUUUCUAUAUUUUCAUGAGCACAAAAACAAUAAAUUAAAUUGUUUUUCACCUAUUUCGAAAUGAGCAAAAUUUUGGGUGUUACAUAG
RNAcentral lists this long non-coding RNA (6055 nucleotides) under Sorghum bicolor (sorghum). Its description in RNAcentral is "long non-coding RNA (SBIC_LNC015157)". The record is from RNAcentral. Lineage: Eukaryota; Viridiplantae; Streptophyta; Magnoliopsida; Poales; Poaceae.